Molecule: ribosomal RNA, 434 nt
Filed under: uncultured bacterium
Lineage: Bacteria
Description: bacterial SSU rRNA
Rfam family: Bacterial small subunit ribosomal RNA
Source: RNAcentral
AGCGAACGCUGGCGGCAGGCUUAACACAUGCAAGUCGAGCGGGCGUAGCAAUACGUCAGCGGCAGACGGGUGAGUAACGCGUGGGAACGUACCUUUUGGUUCGGAACAACACAGGGAAACUUGUGCUAAUACCGGAUAAGCCCUUACGGGGAAAGAUUUAUCGCCGAAAGAUCGGCCCGCGUCUGAUUAGCUAGUUGGUGAGGUAACGGCUCACCAAGGCGACGAUCAGUAGCUGGUCUGAGAGGAUGAUCAGCCACAUUGGGACUGAGACACGGCCCAAACUCCUACGGGAGGCAGCAGUGGGGAAUAUUGGACAAUGGGGGCAACCUUGAUCCAGCCAUGCCGCGUGAGUGAUGAAGGCCCUAGGGUUGUAAAGCUCUUUUGUGCGGGAAGAUAAUGACGGUACCGCAAGAAUAAGCCCGGCUAACUUCGUG